GCGCCCUAAAGCUAUCCAAUUUCAAUAGUUAAAAUAAGUAAUACCUAUCUUAGUAAUACAUAUUAAAACCAUCAAAAAUAAUUAAGCGGCUUUAUUACAUUUAAAAACCCAAAACUUCAAACGUAAAUAAAAGGAUGUCCAGCUCACCAGAAGAAAAUCAAACUUUCAGAACGGGUGGCCACUCCGAAUUCCCUCACAGCUCCAAGCCCACUAUGGUUGGGGAUUACCAGCGUGGAUGAAAAUAAAAAGGGUGAGUUUGGGGAAACUCAGUGUGUAAGGAAAACC
This 285-nucleotide long non-coding RNA is filed under the name Gossypium barbadense (sea-island cotton). Its description in RNAcentral is "long non-coding RNA (GBAR_LNC012943)". Lineage: Eukaryota; Viridiplantae; Streptophyta; Magnoliopsida; Malvales; Malvaceae. The record is from RNAcentral.